GUAUCAGGAAAUUCCCAAUCACCGACUUCUGGGUUUUUGGCUGUCUGGCCCCUGCUAUAGCUUGCGCUGCCGUGACGCAUGCUGCACUAGCCGUUCGUGCUGCAGACUCGUGUCCAUGCCUAGUGCCAGGCAUGCGCGCUAGCAGAAGUGCACCCACGCCACAGAAACCACUACCUGCCCGCAUCGGUGUAAAAGGGAUUCUGAAAAUUAGAGAUCAAUUGGAACCAAGGAAUAAAGGAUUGGUGGUGGGCUGGAUUAUUGCGAGUAGAUACACCGGAUGCAAGUGGU
This 288-nucleotide long non-coding RNA is filed under the name Setaria viridis. Its description in RNAcentral is "long non-coding RNA (SVIR_LNC001559)". Lineage: Eukaryota; Viridiplantae; Streptophyta; Magnoliopsida; Poales; Poaceae. The record is from RNAcentral.